GUGAAUCAUCAAAUUUUUGAACGCACAUUGCGCUUCCUGGCAUCCCGUGAAGUAUGCCUGUUUGAGGGUCAUUAUUAAUUAAAAAUCGGUUUAGUUACAAAUUGUUUCGCUUCCGGAGUUGGGGCUAUCUUAACAUUUUUGGUUAAGAGGCUUAAAAUUGACCUUUUUUGCGCAUUUUUAUACGUACAUACAUUUUUUUUAUUCGUCUAUUCUU
RNAcentral lists this unclassified non-coding RNA (214 nucleotides) under Glomeraceae sp. RNAcentral's name for it is "partial contains 5.8S ribosomal RNA and internal transcribed spacer 2". The stretch from base 1 to 71 matches the Rfam family "5.8S ribosomal RNA", at positions 84 to 154 of the family's 154-position model. The record is from RNAcentral. Lineage: Eukaryota; Fungi; Glomeromycota; Glomeromycetes; Glomerales; Glomeraceae.